AAGGCAUGAUGAGGGAACUUUCUAAGAAUCUCCUUGAAUUUCUCCCAACUCUCAUAAAUAUAUUUUCCUUCUAACCGAGUAAAAGAAGUAAUAUAAUUUUUUUAUAU
Dendrobium catenatum is the source of this 107-nucleotide small nucleolar RNA. The record is from RefSeq and is a predicted model, not a curated record. Lineage: Eukaryota; Viridiplantae; Streptophyta; Magnoliopsida; Asparagales; Orchidaceae.